Podarcis lilfordi (Lilford's wall lizard) is the source of this 4056-nucleotide non-coding RNA. The record is from the annotation of a GenBank genome assembly. NCBI's taxonomy places the organism in Eukaryota, Metazoa, Chordata, Lepidosauria, Squamata, Lacertidae.
CUCUCACCUUCCAUUCUACAUCAUCGUUGCAGCACCCUUUGCAGUUCCCCCAAGGCUCUGUGCUUUUGAACAGGUUGAUUCCCUAAAUCCGCCUCGGAUUACAAAUUGUGAUUUCAAUAUAGAGUUGUACAAUGGCGUUAUGAUAUUGACAGUUUUCUUUUUCAAUCCCUUUCCUGAUAUGACCUAUAACAGGUUUAGGUUAAGGUUUUAAUCAAUUAACCCUGAAUUUGUAACAUUCCAUCCUUGCACGCUGCAAUGUGGUUGAUGCAAAGGACUCAGUACUGCUUGCAGCAGUGUGGAGAGAGCAGUAUAGAGCUUGGGGAAGGAUUGUCAGACAAAGACUGAACAACUUGGCAUCUGAACGAUGCCCAGUUAAAGUGCUUGAGGUGGUCUCCAGUCUUUCAUUUGUUGCUUCCUUGACACCGGGCACAAUGGAUGCUAAAGUGAUGAGGAUCACACAUGCAAUCACCCACUGCAGCAGGUGUGUGAAGCAUCCUUCAAGCACCUUUCCAGAGCCACCAGGAAAGGUGUCCUGAAAGAAGCGUCCAGUUGCAACCAAAUGAUGAUUUAGUAAUGAUUAAUGAAUUCAUUUAUCUGCAUCUUCUUUAAUCCAGACCAUCAAUUUCAUUUGUAUAUCAAGAGAUGAAACCAGGAGUUUGAACCCAUGCUAAGUGCAGUCCUGAAGGACAGUAGUUAAUUAUUAAAAUACAUUAUUGUAUUUUAAAAACCUUGGCAUACAGCUCUACUUUUUUAUUUCAAUAGGUAAUAAAUAUGUUAAAGGUGCCUUGGUAGAACAAGAUUACCAAGGUAAUUGAAUUCUGCCUGAAAACAGAAAGUUGCAGAGGGACGCGGGGUUCUACUAUGGGGACUUUCAGGCUCAUGAACUUCAGUUUCUGAUAUGAAUGCAAUUCUAGUUAAAUGAACUGGUAGAAGGUGGUCACUAGAGGCCAAACUUUUUGAAUCGUUGGUAUGUGCAUAUAUAAUACCCUAUGGCUGAUUAACCUCUGAAAGUAGCUUGUUAAAUGCUCCAUUACCUGAUUUGUGUGCACACAGCAUCCCAUAAAGUUGCUAGUAUGAAUGAAAAGUAAAGCUUGCUAAAUUCAGGUUUACUGUGCUUUAUGAUAUAAGAAUGCAUGUUAUUCACCAGCAAAGGUUGUGUGAAUCUAAAAUAAUAAAUCAUAGAAUCAUAGAGUUGGAAGGGAGCUCCAAGGGUCAUCUAAUCCAACCCCUUGCAAUGAAGGAAUCUCAGCUAGAUCAUACAUGAGAAAUGGGUUUAGUAAGUCUCUACCUAAAGUUGAAUGUUCUGUUAGUGAAACUGAAUUCUUGCUAUUCUGUGCGUGUGAAAAUAUGUCCUUUUGAAUUAUAGAUUUAUAGGAACCAUCAAAAAUUCCCUUCUCCAAUGGAGGGAAAGAAGUAGAGAAAGCCUUCUAGAAGGGGAAGCUCCAGACAACCUGGAGGUUCAGCCCACUAACAGUACAGAGUCAUCUUUCCUUCUCAGUGGGUCAUGGGUUGGACAGGGACAAGGCUCUAUGAUUUCCAAAAUCAAAACAGUGUGUUAACUGUCAACCUACCUGGAAGUGGAGUCCAUCUGGGCUCCUUGGGGAGGGAGAGGAGGAUAUAAAUUCAAUAAAUAAGACGGUAAAUGUGAUCCCAUUCCACAUUUACUUUCUGUUACGAUAUAGAAGCAAUGCAGCCACAAGCUGCUAGCUUGAAAACAGCACAUGAUGGAAUGUUAGGACUGUUCCGUGGGAAACAGAGGGACAGUCAGUUCACAGGGCAAUGCACCGGAAUUAGCUCAGAGUGUAAUAUGAGCUCUUCCUUUUGCUCUUGUACAGGAAGUACAGGAAGUGUUUGUCUCUCGACUGCUGGAGCUUGAAGAGAGCAGUCAUGCUUUUGUAAUGCUGCAAAGACAGAAAUAAAGGAAUGUGAAUACGUUUCUGUCUAUCUCUUUCCCCUGCCGGGGGGGGGGGCAGGAAAGAGGGGGUGUGUUCUUCUCACGCCGAGAAGAAUCGCCUAUCGCGACCUAGCCUGUAUCCUGCUGGGGAAUGCAGACAGGGAGGUCAUCGGGAGAUCAAGCCGGGUGCCUGGAGAAUUGCCAGUUUCUCCUGAUAAAGGUUUGAUUCCCAACACUUUCCCCAUAAUGCAUUUGCAGCUGUAUUUUAUAUGCUACUUUCACUUACAUUCCCUCCCUGGCAAGAACGGUUUCUAAACCCAUAUAUGAAUUCUCAUAAACUAGUCCAGCUUUCUCAUUCACCUUUCCUCACAGACAUCUACUUUUUCCUCAGUCUUCUCCUUCCUUUGUAUUUCUGCUUACAUUUCCCUUUCUCACACAACCCUAUCCUAGUUAUUUGGUGCCUGUGAGUACUGGACAUGUGAAGGGGUUAUUUACAAUGUCCAUGGCCAGCCGUGCUCCUGAUGGCGCACGUUUGGAAUCAGACUGAAGAGGGCUUCCAUGGCUAGGGAGGAAGACAUGCACAGUUCCCUCCACAGGGUUGUGAAACUUGGUUUAGGGAAUUAGGGAGCCCCAUACUAGUUCAACUGUAUGUGCAUGGGCCUCCCUGUAGGUGGUACUGAGGUUAGCUGGACAUGUUCUAGGGAGUCACCUCAUGGAUUAUUUAGAGCCAUUCCAACCUGGAUUCAGGCCUGGCUGUCUAAUUGAUGGACACAAUGAUGCACCUCCCCGUUCCAGGUACGGAAGCUGAAACAGCUGGAGGCUGCUGCUGUUGCUCCCCAACAGCAACUGUACCCUGGUGCAGUUGCCUCACUGGUGAAUGGAAGGGCCAACCAUGAUAACUGCCACUGCUUGCAUGCCUAGUAUCAGAGGUCACAAUGGCUGCAGUCUAUUUCCAUUGUUGGGAGCAGUAUGCUUUUGAAUGCCAGUUGCUGGAAAUCACAAGUGGGAAGAAUGAUGUUAUGCUCAGAACCUGCUUAUGGGCUUCCCACAGGCAUCUGGUUGAGAUCUGGACUAGAUUGUCCUUUGACCUGAUCCAGCAGUCUCUGCUGAUGUUCUUACUUCCCCCUUCCAUGUUGGUAAAUUUAACUGAUUCUUUGACACUGAUAUAUACAUCUGUGUAUAGCCUUUUCUUUCACUUCAGGCUAAUUUACACCCCCCCCCCCCCCGUAAACCAAUGAGCAGCAAAAAAGCAAGCUGCAUCUAGUACUUGACCCCUUUCCAUUGAAGGACAUUAAAGCCACAGCUUGAGGUUCCUCCAUAUGCUGUUGCAGGACCUCUUUGCACUGCAGAUGACAGUGGGCAGCUGCCUGCUGGGGACUGUUGGGUAUUGGGAGGAGGAGGAGGUAGAAAGAGAGUCUCUCAUUGACCAACACUUUUAUGCCUGAACAAACACAGUUAAUUCAUUUAAAGAAUAUAACACCAUGACACUCCCUGAAUGAUUUCAUUUUCUUUGCCGCAAUUCUUCGUUCAAGCAGAAAUACUUGAAUAGUGAUUACUGGGUAUAUUAGUAUAAUUCAUACACUCAUUUUGUGCUUUAGAAUAUCAACAUGUUGUUUGACUAAGCAACCUUGUUCCCUAUUGUUGUUAUUGCAAGGGGGAGGAAGACAGUACAUUACAGAAUUUUCAUAAUAAAAAGGCUACACAUGAUUUCUGAGUGUCACUUUUCCAUGCAUUAAUAAAACCCAAAGGCAUGUCUGUUCCUGACUAUUUUUAUGCUGGCAUGCCAUAACUUCCCACACUUAUAAUGAACAAGCAUGUUGGGAGUGAAAGCACUAUUGGAUUUAGUCAUAUUAAACACUGAAAAGAAAAAAGGGGAAUAAUUUUUUUCCAAAGCAGUUAGUGAUUUGUUUGCAUAAUUCCUUGGGGAGCAAAAGAGAAGAAAAGGGUAGGAAAACUAUAUAUAAUAAGAAGCAAAAAGCAUAGCAUAAUAGGCUUUCAAAAAACCUCCAUGUUUGCAGAUGCAAUUUUGUAGCGAUGUUAAAUUAUAGAUGCAAAUGCUUGCCUUUAAAAUGCCAGGAGGCUUUUUAUAAUUUCAUGUGUGUGGGGGGGAGGGUGGGUGGGCUGGAGUUAAGUGUAGACAUUUGCAAAAAUGAAGAUCCUGU